This 234-nucleotide ribosomal RNA is filed under the name uncultured bacterium. Its description in RNAcentral is "partial 16S ribosomal RNA". It matches the Rfam family "Bacterial small subunit ribosomal RNA", at positions 1269 to 1500 of the family's 1533-position model. The record is from RNAcentral.
AAAACUCAAAAACUUAGUCUCAGUUCGGAUUGUAGGCUGAAACUCGCCUACAUGAAGCUGGAGUUGCUAGUAAUCGCGAAUCAGCAUGUCGCGGUGAAUACGUUCCCGGGCCUUGUACACACCGCCCGUCACACCAUGAGAGUUGGCAAUACCCAACGUACGUGAUCUAACCCGCAAGGGAGGAAGCGUCCUAAGGUAGGGUCAGCGAUUGGGGUGAAGUCGUAACAAGGUAAC